This 250-nucleotide ribosomal RNA is filed under the name uncultured bacterium. RNAcentral's name for it is "partial 16S ribosomal RNA". It matches the Rfam family "Bacterial small subunit ribosomal RNA", at positions 524 to 773 of the family's 1533-position model. The record is from RNAcentral.
UACGGAGGGUGCAAACGUUGCUCGGAAUCAUUGGGCGUAAAGCGCACGUAGGCGGUCGGAUAAGUCUGAUGUGAAAACCCGGGGCUCAACCUCGGACUGCCAUUGGAAACUGUUCGACUUGAGAGCGAGAGGGGUCAGUGGAAUUCCUGGUGUAGGGGUGAAAUCCGUAGAGAUCAGGAGGAACACCGGUGGCGAAGGCGACUGACUGGAUCGUCUCUGACGCUCAGGUGCGAAAGCGUGGGUAGCAAAC